Molecule: ribosomal RNA, 769 nt
Filed under: Limnonectes finchi (Finch's wart frog)
Lineage: Eukaryota; Metazoa; Chordata; Amphibia; Anura; Dicroglossidae
Description: partial 16S ribosomal RNA
Rfam family: Bacterial large subunit ribosomal RNA
Source: RNAcentral
CAAUACCCACACUCACUUUAAACCCUUUACUACUAUUAAGUAAUUUUAUAAGCCUAUAAAAGUCCUAAUGCUAAAACUAGUAACAAGAAAUUGAAUUUCUCCCAAAUACAAGCAUAAACCAAAAUGGACAAACCAUUGGUAAUUAACGUCAGUAAACUCACUAUAAUAACAAGUUCAAGAAAACAUUAUAGACUACACACGUUAACCUUACACAAGAAUAUUUCGGGAAAGAUUAAAAGAAAGGGAAGGAACUCGGCAAAUUUUAACCCCGCCUGUUUACCAAAAACAUCGCCUCUUGACUAACAUAAGAGGUCCAGCCUGCCCAGUGACACACUUAAACGGCCGCGGUACCCUGAGUGCGAAGGUAGCAUAAUCAUUUGUUCUUUAAAUAAGGACCUGUAUCAACGGCAUCACGAGGGUUAUACUGUCUCCCCCCUCUAAUCAGUGAAACUGACUUCCCCGUGAAGAGGCGGGGAUAAAAAUACAAGACGAGAAGACCCCAUGGAGCUUUAAACCCAACAAUAACCUUUAUCUAAACCCCCUUCAAAGAUAUAAAGACAUUAUCUGUUGGUUUUAGGUUGGGGUGACCGCGGAGAAAAACUUAACCUCCUUGACGAAUAGAUACAAUCCUAAUCUAAGAGCUACUACUCUAAGAUCAAAAUUGACGUAACAUGAUCCGAUAAUCGAUCAACGAACCAAGUUACCCUGGGGAUAACAGCGCAAUCCAUUUUCACCUAUCGACAAAUGGGUUUACGACCUCGAUGUUGGA